UGCAGUCGAACGGUAACAGGAAGCAGCUUGCUGCUUCGCUGACGAGUGGCGGACGGGUGAGUAAUGUCUGGGAAACUGCCUGAUGGAGGGGGAUAACUACUGGAAACGGUAGCUAAUACCGCAUAACGUCGCAAGACCAAAGAGGGGGACCUUCGGGCCUCUUGCCAUCGGAUGUGCCCAGAUGGGAUUAGCUAGUAGGUGGGGUAACGGCUCACCUAGGCGACGAUCCCUAGCUGGUCUGAGAGGAUGACCAGCCACACUGGAACUGAGACACGGUCCAGACUCCUACGGGAGGCAGCAGUGGGGAAUAUUGCACAAUGGGCGCAAGCCUGAUGCAGCCAUGCCGCGUGUAUGAAGAAGGCCUUCGGGUUGUAAAGUACUUUCAGCGGGGAGGAAGGCGAUAAGGUUAAUAACCUUGUCGAUUGACGUUACCCGCAGAAGAAGCACCGGCUAACUCCGUGCCAGCAGCCGCGGUAAUACGGAGGGUGCAAGCGUUAAUCGGAAUUACUGGGCGUAAAGCGCACGCAGGCGGUCUGUCAAGUCGGAUGUGAAAUCCCCCGGGCUCAACCUGGGAACUGCAUCCGAAACUGGCAGGCUAGAGUCUUGUAGAGGGGGGUAGAAUUCCCAGGUGUAGCGGUGAAAUGCGUAGAGAUCUGGAGGAAUACCGGUGGCGAAGGCGGCCCCCUGGACAAAGACUGACGCUCAGGUGCGAAAGCGUGGGGGAGCAAACAGGAUUAGAUACCCUGGUAGUCCACGCCGUAAACGAUGUCGACUUGGAGGUUGUGCCCUUGAGGCGUGGCUUCCGGAGCUAACGCGUUAAGUCGACCGCCUGGGGAGUACGGCCGCAAGGUUAAAACUCAAAUGAAUUGACGGGGGGCCCGCACAAGCGGUGGAGCAUGUGGUUUAAUUCGAUGCAACGCGAAGAACCUUACCUACUCUUGACAUCCAGAGAACUUAGCAGAGAUGGUUUGGUGCCUUCGGGAACUCUGAGACAGGUGCUGCAUGGCUGUCGUCAGCUCGUGUUGUGAAAUGUUGGGUUAAGUCCCGCAACGAGCGCAACCCUUAUCCUUUGUUGCCAGCGGUCCGGCCGGGAACUCAAAGGAGACUGCCAGUGAUAAACUGGAGGAAGGUGGGGAUGACGUCAAGUCAUCAUGGCCCUUACGAGUAGGGCUACACACGUGCUACAAUGGCGCAUACAAAGAGAAGCGACCUCGCGAGAGCAAGCGGACCUCAUAAAGUGCGUCGUAGUCCGGAUUGGAGUCUGCAACUCGACUCCAUGAAGUCGGAAUCGCUAGUAAUCGUGGAUCAGAAUGCCACGGUGAAUACGUUCCCGGGCCUUGUACACACCGCCCGUCACACCAUGGGAGUGGGUUGCAAAAGAAGUAGGUAGCUUAACCUUCGGGAGGGCGCUUACCACUUUGUGAUUCAUGA
This 1431-nucleotide ribosomal RNA is filed under the name Enterobacter hormaechei. RNAcentral describes it as "bacterial SSU rRNA". It matches the Rfam family "Bacterial small subunit ribosomal RNA". Lineage: Bacteria; Pseudomonadati; Pseudomonadota; Gammaproteobacteria; Enterobacterales; Enterobacteriaceae. The record is from RNAcentral.